RNAcentral lists this transfer RNA (72 nucleotides) under Mustela putorius furo (domestic ferret). It matches the Rfam family "tRNA". Rfam says of the family: Transfer RNA (tRNA) molecules are approximately 80 nucleotides in length. Their secondary structure includes four short double-helical elements and three loops (D, anti-codon, and T loops). Lineage: Eukaryota; Metazoa; Chordata; Mammalia; Carnivora; Mustelidae. The record is from Rfam by way of RNAcentral.
GCCUGGCUGGCUCAGUCCAUAGAGCGUGUGGCUCUUAUCUCAGGGUCAUGAGUUUAAGCCCCAUGUCAGGCA